This is a long non-coding RNA of Heterocephalus glaber (naked mole-rat), 724 nucleotides long. RefSeq lists it as uncharacterized. NCBI's taxonomy places the organism in Eukaryota, Metazoa, Chordata, Mammalia, Rodentia, Bathyergidae. The record is from RefSeq and is a predicted model, not a curated record.
GCUGUGAGCCUGUGCGGAAGUGGAAGAGAAAGCUCUGAGCUUCUGAGACUGGUGAUGGAAAAGGCUCAGGGUACACAUGCCCAUUCCAAAAGAGAGGCGUCGCGGAGCAGCAAGGGAACUCAGCAGGGCAGACAUUAUGCCCUAAAUCUCCGCGUCCGGCAUCCAGAGCACGCUGUGUAAGAGAUAUGACAAGUUGGCUCUCAUCAGAGUCCGGGCAAUGAGUGUCCAGUGCCUGCUGAAAUGGUGCCUGCAGAAUGUUGGCUGAGCAUGAGAUCCGACUUCCUAUUCUUGGAAUGUUCGCAAGCAGACUCUGAGGAGCACAUUAUAUCACUUCCUAAUGAUUUUUCUUAUCAGUUUGAUGGCUCCAGGAAGCCCACGUCCCCUGUAAAUCCAUCUGAGAUUGAUCAGAAGGAGAUUAAUGAUUUCUACUGGACCCAAUUCAUCUCAACCUUGAAGUCAAAGUUCUACUCCCCUUGUUCUUCAACCCUCAACAAAAAUUUACACUUGAUUUCCUUCCAACUUGGAAAUGAUCAGAACACGGUGUGAAUAAUUUUACUGUCCCUCUGUGCAUUUGUGUAACAGUCUUACUCCGUUGUAUAAAUCUUUUUUCUUUGUUUUUCUGUAUCACUGCACUUGACUCAGAGUCUAAAUCUUUGCAGGACAAGAAUCCAUAGACUGUACAGAAUCAGCAUCUUGCAAUAAAACUUCAUCCAUUUAUUCAUAA